This is a microRNA precursor of Bos grunniens (domestic yak), 60 nucleotides long. NCBI's taxonomy places the organism in Eukaryota, Metazoa, Chordata, Mammalia, Artiodactyla, Bovidae. The record is from Ensembl.
AAGAAGUUCAAUCGGGUUUUUCCAUACUAGCUCCUGGAAAAACUUGAAUGAACCUUUUGG